Molecule: ribosomal RNA, 254 nt
Filed under: uncultured prokaryote
Description: partial 16S ribosomal RNA
Rfam family: Bacterial small subunit ribosomal RNA
Source: RNAcentral
UACGGAGGAUGCAAGCGUUAUCCGGAUUUAUAGGGUUUAAAGGGUGCGCAGGUUGUUUGAUAAGUCAGUGGUGAAAGUCUGUCGCUUAACGGUAGGAUUGCCAUUGAUACUGUUAGACUUGAAUAUGGAUGAGGUAGGCGGAAUGUGUAGUGUAGCGGUGAAAUGCAUAGAUAUUACACAGAACACCGAUUGCGAAGGCAGCUUACUAAUCCAUCAUUGACGCUGAGGCACGAAAGCGUGGGGAUCAAACAGGA